UGAGGAAUUUUCCGCAAUGGGCGAGAGCCUGACGGAGCAAUGCCGCGUGGAGGAAGAAUGCCUUAGGGUUGUAAACUCCUUUUCUCAAUGAAGAAAAUCUGACGGUAGUUGAGGAAUAAGCAUCGGCUGACUUCGUGCCAGCAGCCGCGGUAAUACGAGGGAUGCAAGCGUUAUCCGGAAUUAUUGGGCGUAAAGAGUUUGUAGGUGGUUUGGUGUGUUCAAUGUUAAAUAUUAAAGCUCAACUUUGAAAUUGCAUUGAAAACUACCAGACUCGAGUAUGAUAGAGGUAAAGGGAAUUUCCAGUGUAGCGGUGAAAUGCGUAGAUAUUGGAAAGAACACCAAAGGCGAAAGCACUUUGCUAGGUCAAUACUGACACUGAGGAACGAAAGCUAAGGUAGCC
RNAcentral lists this ribosomal RNA (400 nucleotides) under uncultured bacterium. RNAcentral's name for it is "bacterial SSU rRNA". It matches the Rfam family "Bacterial small subunit ribosomal RNA", at positions 355 to 770 of the family's 1533-position model. The record is from RNAcentral.